This 2178-nucleotide long non-coding RNA is filed under the name Cricetulus griseus (Chinese hamster). Its description in RNAcentral is "lncRNA (ENSCGRG00015015570.2)". The record is from RNAcentral. Lineage: Eukaryota; Metazoa; Chordata; Mammalia; Rodentia; Cricetidae.
CUCCUGCCUCCAGGUCCCUGCCUUGAGUUUCUGCCUUGACUUCCUUCAGUUGUGGCCUGUGAUGUGGAAGUGAAAAAGAGGCAGCUGGCACUGUGGCAACCUCCUUGGGGUUCCCAGUCUACAGAAUCUUGAGUCAAAGUCAUCUGUGUCAGUUAUCAAGCCUCAGGCAUCAUGUCACGGUCACAGAGCUUCAGCACGGGCUGAAAUUGGAAAUACAUGUUUUUAAGAGUCAGAAAGUACUUCAGCGUUGCAGCUCACAGAGGAAAUGAGCUAUGCAGAGGGAACUGGGAAGACCAUCGGGAGGAGACCACUGAAGGGGACCCUAGCCUGACAUUUCAGAAAGUAGAUAUCUGUCCCUCCUGACUGGAAUGCCCUCUCAUGCCAUGGAGCACUCUCUUCAGGGAAUCUUGGGUUCUUUCUCCAUGUCACUUCAUUCACACGUCCAGUCCUUGCCCAGGAAGGCUGCUGCGGCUCAAGCCAUCACAUCCACACCCCAGCUGCAGAAGGAGUUAGAGAAGCUGCUCCUGAGGGGCAUGCCUGUGAGACUGUACACACCGCAUCCUCCCACUUACACUUCUUUGGCCAGAAGACAGCUGGACUUUGCGAGGAAGACUAGUCUUUAUUUUGGGAGUCCACAUGUUUGGUUCACAGGACAUAACAUGGUAUUGGAGUCACCACGGAAACCAAGGGUCAUCACUCUGUUCUCAGCUCACAAGGCUUCUUCUUUUUCUGUCUCUCCAUACUAGUUUUUAAACCAAGGUUGCAGAAGAGUUCAGCACCCUCUUUUCUUUCUCACCAAGACCUGAGGCACUCGACUGAAUGUGAGCCUGAAGUUUAGUGAUUUGGUGAGGUGCUUUUAGCAUUGCGGCAGAUCUGGCCUCCUGACAUCACAAGAACCAAUGGGCAUGGAGAAAACAUCCCUCAUCACCAUGGCAACUGGUGCAAACUAGUUCCCACCUAUGUUUCCAGGCUAGGGACUCUGUACAGAGCCUACCUGUAUCCUAGCAACAGGAGGAUGCUACAGUUGACUUUGGUUUUCCAAAUGGCCUGGAAAUGGUUUUCCCUCCUGCCCCACCUCCCACAUCCCUUCUUUCUGUUGUUUCUCAGGUGCAAAGCUGUUGAAGUCAGAGCCUGAAAGAAACAAGUGGGAAGAGAGAAUGUAGGACAUUAGUGAUGCUGGGGGCAGAGGUGUGUGCAAGUUGGGCCAGCAGGAAACGUGAAGCAUGAAUCUUAGGGAAGGGGAUGAAUUUUAUUCACAGAUGAGGCGUGGGAAAUAGGUCAGGGGUGAACUACAAGUUCUUUACCCUGUGAAAUAUCUCAAUGUAAGGCGAUCAGCCAUGUCUCAUCUUUGAAUACAGAAGAUGAAGGGUCAUUGUUGCAGCUCUGUGCCACGGUGCUGAUGUCCUGAAGCUCACUGAGUGAGUGAAUCCUCUGUGAACCCAACAUUCUGAAUUCACUUAAUCCCUAAGGCUCAUUCUGUAAGACAGAGAGAUGACAGACAGACAGGCAGAUAGAUGGUGGGUAGAGAGAUGACAGACAGACAGAUGUGCAGUAGAUAAAUGACAGACAAGUAGAUAGAUUGAUAUAUAAAUUUGCAUCUAAUGCUAAUUAGAACAGGUAGAUCAGUGAAAUAGAACAUAAAAGCCCACAAAACUCCAACGUGUGAAACUUGAUGUAUCAUGUGCUAAAUGGUAUGCCUGUUUUAGUGGAGGUGUGGAUGAGGGAGAGAAUGUUCUAGAAGGUGAGUUACAGUUGGCUCAUAUACACAUACAAAGAGAUGUAUAACCUCAGAGAAAAGUAAAUCAAAGCCACACUGCAAUACUGUUCUUUUGUACUUAGUAAAAUCUUCAAAGUCCAAUAAAAGACAGUACUGUUGUUACUUGGCUAAACCGCCAUGGAGGACAGGAUCUUUUGAAAUAAUGAGUUAUUAUUAAGUUUCAAUAGUCCAUUUCCACAGCAUGUCCGAGAGGCGUACUCACACAUGUGAAGUUGAUAGAGACCAAAGGGUGAUUACAGUUCUCUAGACAUCUGUAGAAAUGUAGAAGGCUGUAGGGACUUGAUACCAUCAGAUAGUACAGACCCCAGGGUCUAAGAAGAGCCUGAUUCCACUCGUACAGGAACACAGGAAAGAGGCAAUAGUGAGGCUGUGGACAUCCCAAAUUCCAAGGGUACACAUAG